Molecule: transfer RNA, 72 nt
Filed under: Ornithorhynchus anatinus (platypus)
Lineage: Eukaryota; Metazoa; Chordata; Mammalia; Monotremata; Ornithorhynchidae
Rfam family: tRNA
About the family: Transfer RNA (tRNA) molecules are approximately 80 nucleotides in length. Their secondary structure includes four short double-helical elements and three loops (D, anti-codon, and T loops).
Source: Rfam by way of RNAcentral
AGCAGUGUGGCCUAAUGGAAAGAGUGCUGGCCUGGGAGUCAGAUGACCUGGGUUCUAAUUCCAGCUCUGCCU